Molecule: long non-coding RNA, 526 nt
Organism: Onychostoma macrolepis
Lineage: Eukaryota; Metazoa; Chordata; Actinopteri; Cypriniformes; Cyprinidae
Exons: 3
Source: RefSeq, a predicted model, not a curated record
UCAGGAAGAAUGGAUUUGUACUCAUUUUUCAGGUUGACAACAAAUGGCUGUUUUCCAUCGUACACGUUCUCCCCUACCACACCAUCUGAGAAACAUAAACACAGAGAAGGUGUCUAUCAGUACUGGCAAACUCACAGGAGGUCCUCUCUUUCCUUUCGGACCAGCCCUGUGGAGUGAAGAAAUGGAUAUAGUGAAUAGUUAACGAGUAUCAUUUGUGUAUAAAAGUGUCUAAUGCUACUGACCUCAAUGUGGAUUUUUUUUUUUCUUGGAUCUGAUCAUUUAAUAAUUCAUUUUAUGUAAUUUCAUUUUCAAAUAUUUACCUUAUACUAUAUAUACACUGCUGUUUAAACGUUUGUUUUGAAAAUUAAUGCAUAUUUUCAUAAGCACCAAAUCAGCAUGUUAGAAUAAUUCCUAAGAUGAGAGUAAUGGCUGUUGAAAAUUCAGCUUUGUCAUCGCAAGAAUAGAAAUGUUUAAAAAUUGUACAAAUAUUUUACAAUAUUAUGCUUUUUACUGAAUUUUGGUUCAA